RNAcentral lists this ribosomal RNA (634 nucleotides) under uncultured fungus. RNAcentral's name for it is "eukaryotic LSU rRNA". The stretch from base 226 to 379 matches the Rfam family "5.8S ribosomal RNA". Lineage: Eukaryota; Fungi. The record is from RNAcentral.
CGUAGGUGAACCUGCGGAAGGAUCAUUAUCGAGUUUUUGAACGGGUUGUCUGCUGGCUCGAAAGAGCAUGUGCACGCCUGGCUCAUCCACUCUCAACUUCUGUGCACUUUUCAUAGGCCGGCUUGUGGGUGUCGCGUUCGCGCGCACUUGUAGGUCUGGCUUAUGCUCUACCACAAACGAUUCAGUUAUAGAAUGUCUUUACUUUGCGAUAACGCAAUUAUAUACAACUUUCAGCAACGGAUCUCUUGGCUCUCGCAUCGAUGAAGAACGCAGCGAAAUGCGAUAAGUAAUGUGAAUUGCAGAAUUCAGUGAAUCAUCGAAUCUUUGAACGCACCUUGCGCUCCUUGGUAUUCCGAGGAGCAUGCCUGUUUGAGUGUCAUGGAAUUAUCAACUUCUAUAACUUUUGUUGUGGAAGCUUGGACUUGGAGGUUGUGUUGGCUUGCAAAAGUCAACUCCUCUGAAAUGUAUUAGCGUGAAUCUUACGGAUCGCCUUCAGUGUGAUAAUUAUCUACGCUGUGGUGUUGAAGUAUUUAAUGUCACGCUUCUAAUCGUUCGCAAGGACAAUUACUUGACAAUCUGACCUCAAAUCAGGUAGGACUACCCGCUGAACUUAAGCAUAUCAAUAAGCGGAGGA